CCUACGGGAGGCUGCAGUGGGGAAUAUUGGACAAUGGGCGAAAGCCUGAUCCAGCCAUGCCGCGUGUGUGAAGAAGGCCUUCGGGUUGUAAAGCACUUUCAGUGGGGAAGAAAGCCUUGGGGCUAAUGCCCUCGAGGAAGGACAUCACCCACAGAAGAAGCACCGGCUAACUCCGUGCCAGCAGCCGCGGUAAUACGGAGGGUGCGAGCGUUAAUCGGAAUUACUGGGCGUAAAGCGCGCGUAGGCGGUCUGAUAAGCCGGUUGUGAAAGCCCCGGGCUCAACCUGGGAACGGCAUCCGGAACUGUCAGGCUAGAGUGCAGGAGAGGAAGGUAGAAUUCCCGGUGUAGCGGUGAAAUGCGUAGAGAUCGGGAGGAAUACCAGUGGCGAAGGCGGCCUUCUGGACUGACACUGACGCUGAGGUGCGAAAGCGUGGGUAGCAAACAGGAUUAGAUCCCUUGUAGUC
RNAcentral lists this ribosomal RNA (464 nucleotides) under Vreelandella stevensii. RNAcentral's name for it is "partial 16S ribosomal RNA". It matches the Rfam family "Bacterial small subunit ribosomal RNA", at positions 338 to 795 of the family's 1533-position model. The record is from RNAcentral. Lineage: Bacteria; Pseudomonadati; Pseudomonadota; Gammaproteobacteria; Oceanospirillales; Halomonadaceae.